Molecule: long non-coding RNA, 201 nt
Filed under: Theobroma cacao (cacao)
Lineage: Eukaryota; Viridiplantae; Streptophyta; Magnoliopsida; Malvales; Malvaceae
Description: long non-coding RNA (TCAC_LNC001718)
Source: RNAcentral
GUCACGACCCGGAACCUCCCUCAGGCCCAUGACAAUCGCCGCGACGUCCCGAUUGACACUCAUUAUCCGGAAUGCCAACCGAAACCCCGCAAGGCUUACAUAUCAGUUUCUUUCCUUUCCUGUGAGCAAUCAUUGUUAAAUAUCGAGUUUUUAGAGAAUAUAUACUAUUUUAUAUCAAAAACAAUCAAAAUAAAAUUUUCG